UGCCAGCAGCCGCGGUAACACGUACUGUGCGUACGUUAUUCGGAAUCACUGGGCUUAAAGGGUGCGUAGGCGGCUUAACAAGUCAGGUGUGAAAGCUCUCGGCUCAACCGAGGAAUAGCGCUUGAAACUGUUAGGCUUGAGUAUCUCAGGGGUGUGCGGAACUUCCAGUGGAGCAGUGAAAUGUGUUGAUAUUGGAAGGAACGCCGGUAGCGAAAGCGGCACACUGGGGGAUAACUGACGCUGAGGCACGAAAGCCAGGGUAGCGAACGGGAUUAGAUA
RNAcentral lists this ribosomal RNA (279 nucleotides) under uncultured bacterium. RNAcentral describes it as "partial 16S ribosomal RNA". It matches the Rfam family "Bacterial small subunit ribosomal RNA", at positions 506 to 784 of the family's 1533-position model. The record is from RNAcentral.